AUCGGAGACAGGUGCUGCAUGGCUGUCGUCAGCUCGUGUCGUGAGAUGUUGGGUUAAGUCCCGCAACGAGCGCAACCCUCGCCCUUAGUUGCCAGCAUUAAGUUGGGCACUCUAAGGGGACUGCCGGUGAUAAGCCGAGAGGAAGGUGGGGAUGACGUCAAGUCCUCAUGGCCCUUACGGGCUGGGCUACACACGUGCUACAAUGGUGGUGACAGUGGGCAGCGAGACCGCGAGGUCGAGC
This 241-nucleotide ribosomal RNA is filed under the name Bartonella krasnovii. Its description in RNAcentral is "Candidatus Bartonella krasnovii partial 16S ribosomal RNA". It matches the Rfam family "Bacterial small subunit ribosomal RNA", at positions 1027 to 1268 of the family's 1533-position model. The record is from RNAcentral. Lineage: Bacteria; Pseudomonadati; Pseudomonadota; Alphaproteobacteria; Hyphomicrobiales; Bartonellaceae. RNAcentral also lists the same sequence under 1 other name.